This 490-nucleotide ribosomal RNA is filed under the name uncultured bacterium. RNAcentral's name for it is "partial 16S ribosomal RNA". It matches the Rfam family "Bacterial small subunit ribosomal RNA", at positions 29 to 507 of the family's 1533-position model. The record is from RNAcentral.
AGUGAACGCUGGCGGUAGGCCUAACACAUGCAAGUCGAACGGCAGCACAGGAGAGCUUGCUCUCUGGGUGGCGAGUGGCGGACGGGUGAGGAAUACAUCGGAAUCUGCCCAGUCGUGGGGGAUAACGUAGGGAAACUUACGCUAAUACCGCAUACGACCUUCGGGUGAAUGAGGGGGCUCGCAAGACCUCUCGCGAUUGGAUGAGCCGAUGUCGGAUUAGCUAGUUGGCGGGGUAAUGGCCCACCAAGGCGACGAUCCGUAGCUGGUCUGAGAGGAUGAUCAGCCACACUGGAACUGAGACACGGUCCAGACUCCUACGGGAGGCGGCAGUGGGGAAUAUUGGACAAUGGGCGCAAGCCUGAUCCAGCCAUACCGCGUGGGUGAAGAAGGCCUUCGGGUUGUAAAGCCCUUUUGUUGGGAAAGAAAUCUUUCAGGCUAAUACCCUGGGAGGAUGACGGUACCCAAAGAAUAAGCACCGGCUAACUUCGUG